CCGGGAUUGGAGGAAAGAGGGGGAAGGGAGGCAGGCCGGAUCCGCAGCUGCUGUUGUAGGGAUGCCUGCCGGGAGAGUCACCGGGCCACCCCUUUUACAAAAUAGCGGUCUCUGGCAAGUAGGAAGUUUCCCUUGGUCUUUCUUCUGCUGGGGACGCGGCUGCCCCAUAGGUGGGCAGGGUACGGGGCAAUUGGAGCUGCCAGAAGUCCCUCCUGAAGGUUUUGACAGCAUGUUUGGAUUCUGGAUCCAAGAAUCCUGUGCAAGACUGUUUUUUUCAGGGGGGAACUGCAUUUUUGUGUCCUCUUCAAUACACACAUAGACACACAGAUGUGCCCCUUUUCUAAUUUUAUUCUUGCUCAAAAACCCUGCGUGCAAUGUCCCACUGGAGGGAUUUCCAGCCUUCUGGUGUUAAUGACGAGAGUGGGGAUGCGGAGUCUCCCCAUGUAGCGGAAGAAGCGUGUGGAUUUGGUUACAGUAAAGGGGAUUGGGUGUCAUGGGAGAAAAUCCCAUGAGGCUGAAGCAGAGUCUGGGAGAGAAAGGGGAUGCCGGCGGGUGGACAACUCCGACUGGAAAACCGAUCCAGCUCCCGGAUUUUCUCCUCCACUCGGUCCAGGGGCUUCUGGGGUCCCCUUCCCCGGAGUCCUCCACUCUCCCCAACCCUACCAGCCACUGAGUCUUUGCUAUCCCUGCGCCUCUCUAGGCAGGCAACCCGCCCAGUUUAUUUUAAGGGCUGGGCAGGAUGGUGAGUGGAAGGGUGCGUGAGAAAAGGCCGCCUAGAUUCGGACUCCGUGCUGACCAUCCUACCCGAGAAGCCAAGACCCAUUCCAUCACCAGCAGGGUCUCUCCACUAGUUCCCAGUGCUGUUUACCUAAAUAAGAAGUAGCCCCAGUCGAGGAGGAUGCCAAAGUAUGGGAGCGGUUGCACAGCAAAGUCCCUGGAGAAGAAGUAAAAAACGUUUGCUUUGGAUCUUCCGGAAAGUUAACUGUGAUGCAGAGGUCCUGAAGUCUUUGCAGGAAUGAGUCUCACCGUGAGAGAUAGCAGAUCCUAUCUGGUGUUGAUGUAAUUAUUGUGUCGGAGAAGAACAUUAUAUGAUAAAGUGUUAUCUAAUAUUCUAGAAGCCAUUAAAGCGUCAAACUUUAAUGUCAAGCCUUUUAGAUCUAAGGCAGUUCAGUGUUUCCUCUGAUGUACAGCUUUAUUUUAGAACUCCCAGAAAACAAGGGGAUCAUUUUAUUUUUAUUUAUUUGUUUUACAGAACGCCAGUCCUUCCUACUCGCUUCCUCCACCCCCACACCAGCUUUUACCCUGGAACUGGCUUUGGAACCUGUUCUGGAACUCGCUCUUUGGAGCAGGCUGGCUUGGAACUCACAGAGAUCCAUCUGCCUCUGCCUCUGGGAUUAAAUGUCUGUGCCACCAAUGCCCAGCUCUGUGCUUUCUUUUUA
Molecule: long non-coding RNA, 1439 nt
Filed under: Cricetulus griseus (Chinese hamster)
Lineage: Eukaryota; Metazoa; Chordata; Mammalia; Rodentia; Cricetidae
Description: lncRNA (ENSCGRG00015030431.1)
Source: RNAcentral